UACGGAGGAUCCUAGCGUUAUCCGGAUUUAUUGGGUUUAAAGGGUGCGUAGGCGGCCUAUUAAGUCAGGGGUGAAAGACGGUAGCUUAACUAUCGCAGUGCCUUUGAUACUGAUGGGCUUGAAUGUACUUGAGGUAGGCGGAAUGUGGCAAGUAGCGGUGAAAUGCAUAGAUAUGACAUAGAACACCAAUUGCGAAGGCAGCUUACUACAGGGACAUUGACACUGAGGCACGAAAGCGUGGGGAUCAAACAGG
This 253-nucleotide ribosomal RNA is filed under the name uncultured bacterium. Its description in RNAcentral is "partial 16S ribosomal RNA". It matches the Rfam family "Bacterial small subunit ribosomal RNA", at positions 524 to 776 of the family's 1533-position model. The record is from RNAcentral.